Molecule: non-coding RNA, 3133 nt
Organism: Paramuricea clavata
Lineage: Eukaryota; Metazoa; Cnidaria; Anthozoa; Malacalcyonacea; Plexauridae
Source: the annotation of a GenBank genome assembly
AAUUUAAAACUGACCAAAACAUCAUUUGAGGUGUCGGAUGGGAGGGUCCAGUGGGCGUCGUAGCGGAUACCAUUGGAUAAAUACGGAUUACUGUGACACUGUGUACUAUUAAAGAUAUUGUGAACAUUAAUGGAUUACAACGAACACUUGUGGAUUAUUAUGAACAUUUGUGGAUAAAAUGUACCUCGCGAUCGACGGUUACCUACCAAUGUACCUAAACAACGAAAGCUACACGACGGCAACGAGAUGACUGCCUCAAGGUUAGAUGGUUUAGUCUGAUAACAGGCAGUUGUUAGCUUGUUAUCAGGCAGUAGUGAGCCUGCUAUCAGGCAGUAGUUAGCCUGCUAACAGGCAGUAUAUCUGUAGGAUUCAUAUCCAAGACUCUAAUUUGCAUGUGGUCGGUGAAGUCUCUGGGUUAACCGGUUUAAAAUUCCUGGCGGUCUGUCGUUAGUAGUACAUUUGCACGCAAGGUUGAUUUUUAUUCAGAUGUUUGCAUGCUAAUAAAAAUUGAGGAACAAUUUUGACCUCAAUUAAUCAGAAUUUCGACAUCAUCUGCAAUCGAAAGUCAAUCUUAAAGAGGUUAACAUUUGAGCUUUCGGUCACGUGGUUCGUUGCAUGCACUCGGUUCGGUUAUUGGUGGGUUUCAGUAAGUGUUGCAAUCCAAACGAUGGUCAACAUAAAAAAAUAUUGGCACUUCCUGGAGCAAUUUAUUUGUUUCAAAUACAAGACUACUACAUAAAAUGAAAAAGAGUGAAGAUUAUUUUUUCACUCUAGUAACUCGUACUGAGACCCACUAGCUAUUUGCGGUCUGUUCGUGCCAAUGUUCGUCUCUAUUGUGUAAAUGUACUGCUUAGGUGUCUCCGUGUCUGUGCAUGGAUAAACGCAGCGCGCAGCUAGUAUCCAGAGUAUAGGCAAACGAGUAAAACCUUGUCAGACUUUAAAUUUUUGUUUAUAUCGAUACGUUACGUUCAUAAAUGUAUAGAAAUAUCAUGAAAUGUGUUGGGCUUGGGCUUGGGGUUAAAUCUAACCCUAUAACCUUAACCUUAAUCCAUUACAUGAUCUGUAUAUUUGUGUACGUAAUAUAUAUGGGUGUAGCCAAAAUUUUGUUGAAAAGCUGGCAUAAUUUUUCUUGGGUAGGAUAACUAAACUGGGUGCAAAUGGUAUCCAUAGCUUAGAGGGUGCAAAUGGUACCCGUAAGAAGAUUGGUGGAUAUUCUUGGACAAGAUUUACCGGGUACUCCGGUUUCCAACUACAAAAAGAUCAGCUUAGGACUUUAAUGACAUAAUUAUUGUAAUGAUAAAUAGUCUAGGCUUUAGUGAAUAAUAAAUUGUCGUGGAAAGGUGUAUCUUUCAUCGCCCGUAGUGCAUGUAUAUCGCUGGUUUCGAACGUUAGUUUUCUGCCCCGAGUUAUAUGAAAACAGUUCGCUACCAGAGAUUAGGUCCCCUCUCUGUUAUGGCGUCUCGACGAUGCCGGAAGACAUUACCAUAAGGCAUGCAAACCUUACCCCUGUUUGUGGAAGCUCACCAGGUGCAACCGGCACACUAGGUUAAGUUAAGUUAAGCUAGGGGCAUGACCGAGACUACACAUUCGGGGGUUUCCCUUGCAGGUUUUUGAAAGGGUAUGUGCGCGCGCGCACUAGUUAGGGAGGUUAGGCAGCUAGAAAUAAGGCGUGCGUACUAUAAGGCAUGUUUAUACUGUAAUUCAUUAUCGUCAAACUUUUGCGCCAGUAACUUUCUGAGAAGUAUUUAACACAACAGGAAAAUGGAAUCUAUUUUCCUGCUGAAACGUACUUACAGACCCAAUUCAAAGUGGAAAAAAAAGAGAUAUUGCGAAAAAGAGAAAAGUAAAAAAGAAAACAGCGAAGCCACUUUGAAUUUAAGCCACACUAGUCCAAGAAUACUCGUUGCAGAAAAACAACAACAAAAAAGAAACCAUUUUCUGCCUAAAAUAUCUUGAAUUAGGGGCUUAACGAUAAGAAACGCAGUUCUCGCUCCAAAGUGGAGAUAGGCUCGUUUCUUUAGGUUGCUAAAGCAUUGCGCGCGCGCGCUUUAUAAAUCGUAGUAUAAGUACUCAGUUGAAACGACCGCCAGGAAAAAUAGGGUGUUUUCACGUGUUGCUUUGACGGACAAGUAUUAUAAAAUAAUGGUUUCUGGUUUACUUGUAUUUCGGUACUUUAACUUGUUCCCAAACAUUGCCGCCGUGAAAACACUCUGCAGAUCAAGGUUAUAUAUGGUCGCAAUAGCAAUAUAGAAUGUUUGCCAUGUUUCAUUCCGUGUUGUCUUGCAUUGUUCGUAUAUGAACUUGGUCGAACCAUGGAUCAUAAAAACACCAUGGUCGCGCGCAGUAAUUAACUUGACAUAAGCGACGCGCGCGUCGUGCUGCUGUAAUGCGGAGUACAGUCGGUGAGUGUACUCCAUGUGCAAAUAGUGACGUGUGCUCUAUAUAGUCUUGACUUGAAAAACAAAUUAAGGUGCAUGUUGAUCAGAAUAAAGUGCGCAAAGUUUCAUGAAAAAUAAAAUUAAAUGCGCCCAGUUGCAUGCUUAGUAAAAUCAAGGGCAUGAAAACCAGUGCAUGCUAAUUUAAAUUGAGUGCGCGCGUUGCAAUUUACUUGCGCGCGAUAAAAGCGAAAUGCGCAAAAAAUCUAAAUAUAGAAAUGCACACAUCACAUCUUCAAAAUGCAUCCAAGUGUCCUAACAGCUUUUACAAACUAUCGUAAAAUAUGUUGGGGCAUUGGAUUCAUUUGCCACGCACCUUGUCCUGAACAUAUCUGAAAUAUUUUCAAGUUUCAAGGUUAAGACAAAUAUAUCCUUAGUGGAACAAUUUGUUCAUAAAAAGAGAUGUAUUUGUCUUGCGCAAUCUGUAGACUGAAUUUUCGGGUGGUCUACAAUUUUUUUUUGAACAUCUCGUGACAUUUUUAUUUUUAUUUUUUUUUGCAAGAUUUUUACUUUUCUGGAUUUUGGUAGGUAUGGGUAGGUAUGGUAUAUACUAUUAUAGUUAAUUCGGUCACACAGGGUUGCCCCCGGGGUUUUCGGAAUCCGGACUCGUAAUCACCAAGGUUUUUCACCAGAUCCUCUGGUUUUCCUCGGGUGAUUACGUAUUUUUUCGUUUGGCAAAAUAUCUAAAAAUUCCAAAA